Anas platyrhynchos (mallard) is the source of this 2341-nucleotide long non-coding RNA. RefSeq lists it as uncharacterized. The record is from RefSeq and is a predicted model, not a curated record. NCBI's taxonomy places the organism in Eukaryota, Metazoa, Chordata, Aves, Anseriformes, Anatidae.
AGGAGGGGGCCUGCUUUUUUCCACGCUUUCAGACCACAACAGAUUUCUGCUGGUGAUUUCUCAGCGGGAAUUAUUCUCUAACUCACGGCUUCAGCUUGAGGCCCCAGCAGUGCCCCAUCACUACCCAAGGGGGCUUGGUGGGGCUGGGGGUGCCCCCCACGGACCCCUGGCCCCGCAGCGAGCAGGCGCCGGCUCUUUCUGGAGGUUUCUGGAGAGGCACGGGAUCCUCUGGAUGUGCGGGGUCAGACAGUGGUGACUCAGUCCUGUCCCGUGACAGCUUCCUUUCUCCUCCAGCCCAGCGGAAACGCUGCUCGGCUGCUUCUGUGCUGCUUCCAGACGAUGCCAGAGGCCCCGGCGCUGCUGCAGGGUGCUCGGGGCACCCAGCCCUGGAACAGCUCCUGCCUGAGCCAAGCUGGGCUGCGAGGGUUGGUCACACUCACUGUGUGUUCAGCCAUCUCCUGCUGCUGUGCAAGGGUCAUAAUCAGAAACAUUUCUCUGGAAAACGCGAUGCAGAAGUCCUCCUUUCUCUACAGUGUGGGCGGAAGGGAAAGCGACGCUGGGUUUUUGCUGUCUCAUUUUCGAGGCUAGGUUUUCCUGAAGGGCAGAAGACGCUGGCACUGGGAGGAGCAGAUAGGAAAAAUGAGCAGAUAGCAGGCACAAAGUAGAAGCAUGCAACCUGUGUUGUGCAACUACGUCAGGAUUUCGUGUUUACACAGGCCUCGGGACCUGUGGAUGGCUUGCAGCAGACAGCCCUAGCUUCUGCAGUGCGCUCAGUGCUGCCAACAUCAACUGGUCAAAGAUCAUGAGAUCACCUGAAAAAACAGGUUCUCUCUGUCUAUUUGCUUUUUGGGGUUUACAGUCUUUGCAGUUCGCAAUUUAAACUUUGCUCUGCAAAAGCACCCAGAAGGUUCAAAACUUACCCAUUUUUUUAACAGAAUAAAAGCAAAACCGACAUGGGGGAGGGCCUUUAAAAGUCAACGUGAACUUUGCCGCACUGAUACAACCAGGCUGACAGUUUUGCUCAGUCCCUUGUUUCUUCCAAGAGAGCCCAAGGUUUUUGUCAUACAAUGGUGGCAUAAAGCUCAGUCAUUUCUUCAGACUUUUAUGAAGACAAAGUAUAGUAGCAGAAAUUAGAUUAAGCUUUAUUCUUGGGGAGAAGCCUAAUUAAUUUCCUUGCGGAAAUUAUUAACGUUAUUCUUUCCUGCUGCAUAUGCACUACCUAUCCCAUGCAGUAGGAGCAUUUUGCACAGAUGAAAAGAGGCACUCAGCGUCAUAACGUGCCACGGCACUUGACUAAACUCAGAUGGCUGUAGGAUUUCAUGUGCCUUUCCCACGAGAGCUAUUAUGCACCUGCUGCCCCUGCAGUUCCCCCGUUAAUUGCCGCAAACCCCUCGCGGGCUGUGGGGUUUUGCACAUGGCUUUAGGGUGAGCAAGCAGAGCGGCUGGGGGUCGCUUUUUCUAGCGCUGAAAAUGCAGGUGCUGCUGCUCUCCCUGGAGCUGAGCAAAACCCCACAUCCUUGGGUGCCCCAGCCCCGCUCCAUCAAUGCUGGGUGCUCCCGGAGCGCUCCCCCUGCCGGCUCCUCCUGCCAGAGGCUCGCUGCCAUUUCAAGGUUUGAAAAUGGGAUUUAUUGGACAAAUUGGACAAGCGGCUAAGGAUGCGGGGCCUUGCCCCAUGUGCACAGGUUGCUGCCACCACAGCGAUACCCUGGCACGGGGACAGACCCCGAGCAUCACCCGUGCUGCUGCGCUUGGCACGUGCAGUCCUUGCUUUGCAUCGCUGUCUGAUCACUCCAAACACUUCAAGCAGCAGACUUUGAUCGCUGGAAGGCAGUCCCACGGCACCUGCACGAUUUUUAAUGGCUGAGAGAGCUGCGGGGAGUGAAGCAGGACGGCUGCAGCCACGCACCUGCCUGCCUGUGACCACGGACAGCAGAGCAGGGGCAGGUUUGGGUGGCGGAGGGGUGCACGCUCAGCACUUCGAGCCCAGCCUCACCGUACAGCUCUCGCUGCCCACAAUGAAAUAAAGCAGCACCCAAAGCACCCAAAGCACCGUUUACAUCCGAUUCCCCCUGCCCUUCACCCCGACCAGCAGCUUAAGGCCAUAAUUACCAAAACCCAAGCCUUUUGGAAGACAGAUGCCAGCCUACGAGGCCACAGCAUCCAGCCAACACUCCCCUGGCAUCGGCUGGCUCUCAGGCUGGAGGCGGGGGGCUCCUGUGGGACCCCAACCCGGGACCCCCAGCCUGAGACCCCCAUCCUGGGAUUGGGCCCGGUGCCCGCACCCCCCCCCCUGCCUCCUGCAUCCCGCAUCCUGCCCAAGGGGGGCCAAGCGCCCACCCGC